CGGGGGGAGCAAGCGUUGUUCGGAUUUACUGGGCGUAAAGGGCGCGUAGGCGGCGCAACAAGUCACUUGUGAAAUCUCCGGGCUUAACCCGGAGCGGCCAAGUGAUACUGUCGUGCUAGAGUGCGGAAGGGGCUACUGGAAUUCUCGGUGUAGCGGUGAAAUGCGUAGAUAUCGAGAGGAACACCUGCGGCGAAGGCGGGUAGCUGGGCCGACACUGACGCUGAUGCGCGAAAGCCAGGGGAGCGAACGGGAUUAGAUACCCCGGUAGUCCUGGCCUUAAACGAUGGAUACUUGGUGUCCGGGGUUACAUAGUCCCCGAGUGCCGGCGCUAACGCAUUAAGUAUCCCGCCUGGGGAGUACGGUCGCAAGACUG
RNAcentral lists this ribosomal RNA (373 nucleotides) under uncultured organism. RNAcentral describes it as "bacterial SSU rRNA". It matches the Rfam family "Bacterial small subunit ribosomal RNA", at positions 526 to 896 of the family's 1533-position model. The record is from RNAcentral.